This 77-nucleotide transfer RNA is filed under the name Caudoviricetes sp. RNAcentral's name for it is "tRNA-Met". It matches the Rfam family "tRNA". Rfam says of the family: Transfer RNA (tRNA) molecules are approximately 80 nucleotides in length. Their secondary structure includes four short double-helical elements and three loops (D, anti-codon, and T loops). Further hydrogen bonds mediate the characteristic L-shaped molecular structure. tRNAs have two regions of fundamental functional importance: the anti-codon, which is responsible for specific mRNA codon recognition, and the 3' end, to which the tRNAs corresponding amino acid is attached (by aminoacyl-tRNA synthetases). tRNAs cope with the degeneracy of the genetic code in two manners: having more than one tRNA (with a specific anti-codon) for a particular amino acid; and 'wobble' base-pairing, i.e. permitting non-standard base-pairing at the 3rd anti-codon position. Lineage: Duplodnaviria; Heunggongvirae; Uroviricota; Caudoviricetes. The record is from RNAcentral.
GGUGGGAUAGAGCAGUUGGCAGCUCGCUUGGCUCAUAACCAAGAAGUCGGAGGUUCAAAUCCUCCUCCCGCAACUCA